CCGCCCGUGCGAGGCCGACGCCCUCCGUGCCCCCCCCUACGCCAACGUGUCGUCGCUGGAGGACGUGGUGACCCCCCGCUUCCUGUGCUCGGGGGGCACCGAGCCCCAGGUGGACGACAACGCCUGCCCCGGCGACUCCGGGGGCCCCGUCGUUGUCACGUGGGGGAAGCGCCACUUCCAGGUGGGCGUGGUCAGCUGGGGCGUGGUCUCCGUGUGCCACCAGCGCCAGGCCCCGUCCUACGCCCGCGACUUCCACGUGAGCCUGUUCGAGGUGCUGCCCUGGCUCAGGGAGAAGCUGGAGGACGAGGACCUGGGCUUCCUGCCCUGAGCCCCGGGGACACCCUGGGACACGCCAGGACACGCCAGAACAUGCCAAGACAUGCCAGGACAUGCCAGGACACACCACGGCCACGCGACCCCACAGGGGUGGGACGUGGGUGGGGGGAUCAGAGGGGGUUGUGGGGACGAUUUCAGGGGUCCCUCUGGGUCUGGGGGGGUCCCAAUCUCUCCCUCAGAUGACAAUAAACG
Molecule: long non-coding RNA, 528 nt
Organism: Neopelma chrysocephalum (saffron-crested tyrant-manakin)
Lineage: Eukaryota; Metazoa; Chordata; Aves; Passeriformes; Pipridae
Exons: 3
Source: RefSeq, a predicted model, not a curated record